This 490-nucleotide ribosomal RNA is filed under the name uncultured bacterium. RNAcentral's name for it is "partial 16S ribosomal RNA". It matches the Rfam family "Bacterial small subunit ribosomal RNA", at positions 30 to 507 of the family's 1533-position model. The record is from RNAcentral.
AUUGAACGCUGGCGGCAGGCCUAACACAUGCAAGUCGAACGGUAACAGAAAGCAGCUUGCUGCUUUGCUGACGAGUGGCGGACGGGUGAGUAAUGUCUGGGAAACUGCCUGAUGGAGGGGGAUAACUACUGGAAACGGUAGCUAAUACCGCAUAACGUCUCAAGCCCAAAGAGGGGGACCUUCGGGCCUCUUGCCAUCGGAUGUGCCCAGAUGGGAUUAGCUAGUAGGUGGGGUAAAGGCUCACCUAGGCGACGAUCCCUAGCUGGUCUGAGAGGAUGACCAGCCACACUGGAACUGAGACACGGUCCAGACUCCUACGGGAGGCAGCAGUGGGGAAUAUUGCACAAUGGGCGCAAGCCUGAUGCAGCCAUGCCGCGUGUAUGAAGAAGGCCUUCGGGUUGUAAAGUACUUUCAGCGGGGAGGAAGGGAGUAAAGUUAAUACCUUUGCUCAUUGACGUUACCCGCAGAAGAAGCACCGGCUAACUCCGUG